RNAcentral lists this non-coding RNA (27 nucleotides) under Cricetulus griseus (Chinese hamster). The record is from RNAcentral. Lineage: Eukaryota; Metazoa; Chordata; Mammalia; Rodentia; Cricetidae.
UGCUGAGUUCUCUCCUGCCUCCUGACC